UAAGGUGGUUAUAGCGAUGGGGCUCACCUCUUACCAUUCCGAACAGAGAAGUUAAGCCCAUUAGCGCCGAUGGUACUGCAUUUGUGGGAGAGUAGGUCGUUGCCUUUC
This 108-nucleotide ribosomal RNA is filed under the name Gaetbulibacter sp. 4G1. The record is from RNAcentral. Lineage: Bacteria; Pseudomonadati; Bacteroidota; Flavobacteriia; Flavobacteriales; Flavobacteriaceae. RNAcentral also lists the same sequence under 1 other name.